GUCCAGACUCCUACGGGAGGCAGCAGUGGGGAAUAUUGCACAAUGGGGGAAACCCUGAUGCGGCGACGCCGCGUGAGUGAAGAAGUAUUUCGGUAUGUAAAGCUCUAUCAGCAGGGAAGAUAAUGACGGUACCUGAGUAAGAAGCCCCGGCUAACUACGUGCCAGCAGCCGCGGUAAUACGUAGGGGGCAAGCGUUAUCCGGAUUUACUGGGUGUAAAGGGAGCGUAGACGGCAUGGCAAGUCUGAAGUGAAAGCCCGGGGCUCAACCGCGGGACUGCUUUGGAAACUGUUAAGCUGGAGUGCAGGAGAGGUAAGUGGAAUUCCUAGUGUAGCGGUGAAAUGCGUAGAUAUUAGGAGGAGCACCAGUGGCGAAGGUGGCUUACUGGACUGUAACUGACGUUGAGGCUCGAAAGCGUGGGGAGCAAACAGGAUUAGAUACCCCAGUA
Molecule: ribosomal RNA, 446 nt
Filed under: uncultured bacterium
Lineage: Bacteria
Description: bacterial SSU rRNA
Rfam family: Bacterial small subunit ribosomal RNA
Source: RNAcentral